This 426-nucleotide ribosomal RNA is filed under the name uncultured bacterium. RNAcentral's name for it is "partial 16S ribosomal RNA". It matches the Rfam family "Bacterial small subunit ribosomal RNA", at positions 354 to 796 of the family's 1533-position model. The record is from RNAcentral.
GUGAGGAAUUUUCCGCAAUGGGCGAAAGCCUGACGGAGCAAUGCCGCGUGAAGGAUGAAGGCCUAUGGGUUGUAAACUUCUUUUCUCAGAAAAGAAUUAUGACGGUAUCUGAGGAAUAAGCAUCGGCUAACUCUGUGCCAGCAGCCGCGGUAAGACAGAGGAUGCAAGCGUUAUCCGGAAUGAUUGGGCGUAAAGCGUCUGUAGGUUGUUUAAAAAGUAUUCUGUCAAAGAUUAGGGCUUAACUCUAGAUAGGCAGAAUAAACUUUUAAGCUAGAGUGUGGUAGAGGCAGAGGGAAUGCCCGGUGGAGCGGUGAAAUGCGUAGAUAUCGGGAGGAACACCAAAGGCGAAGGCACUCUGCUGGGCCAAUACUAACACUGAGAGACGAAAGCGAGGGGAGCAAAUGGGAUUAGAAACCCUUGUAGUCC